CGUCGCCUUGAUAUUCACGCGAGCACAACUCACACGAUUACGAGUGUCCUCGUUCCUCAUUACAUAGGGUAAUUAGCAUCCAUAGAUUAGAGCAAACAACGUAUUUCCUGCAAAUAGUGACUUGUCUCAUUGCCUUUGGUAGGAAAGUAUUUUUUCUGAAAGUUUACAACCAAGCAAAUCUAUCUCAAGAUGUGUAAGUGUCUCGCAGGAAGCGUCGUUUGCUGCUGCUGUCAGUGUGCGAUGAGCGUUUUCAUCUCGCUGCUGUUCGUAGGGAUCCUACUGGCGGCGGCCGUCGCUGCCGGCAUCUACUUUGGGCUGCUCAACGUGGACGAUAGGGCACCGGAACUGUCCGAGUACAUCCACAAAACCGGUGACUCGAUAAAGGACGCCGUCAAGGAUAAGAUCAACUAGAGUGGCGGGCAGGCGGAGCAGCUAAGCGUAUGUGGGAGCACUAAUUCGCUAAAGUGCCAGCGGGAGUUGCCGAAUCUCGUGAACUGAUCUGCAUAUACUUUUAAUUUAAGCCAUCGUCUCGCAUUUGCUUUAAAGGCGCAUA
Ochlerotatus camptorhynchus is the source of this 553-nucleotide long non-coding RNA. RefSeq lists it as uncharacterized. NCBI's taxonomy places the organism in Eukaryota, Metazoa, Arthropoda, Insecta, Diptera, Culicidae. The transcript is spliced from 2 exons. The record is from RefSeq and is a predicted model, not a curated record.